Sphaeramia orbicularis (orbiculate cardinalfish) is the source of this 207-nucleotide long non-coding RNA. RefSeq lists it as uncharacterized. NCBI's taxonomy places the organism in Eukaryota, Metazoa, Chordata, Actinopteri, Kurtiformes, Apogonidae. The transcript has 3 exons. The record is from RefSeq and is a predicted model, not a curated record.
GUUUUUUUCAGCAGCAGGACUAGGAAAUGUGAAGAGACACAAUGGACAUUGGUCUGGAUCAUCAAUCGUACAAAGACAUUGUCUCAACAUGAAAGACAACAGCGAUGCAGAUCCUCUGUGAAGGAGGAGGCCUGUCUGAUGGAGCUGUUCAUCCAUCGGUGGUCGUUCUUCAUCAGACCCAGUAGAUCCAGAGAUGUGGGUGUAGAC